GAUGAACGCUAGCGAUAGGCUUAACACAUGCAAGUCGAGGGGCAGCAUGAUCUUAGCUUGCUAAGGUCGAUGGCGACCGGCGCACGGGUGCGUAACGCGUAUGCAACUUGCCUUACAGAGGGGGAUAACCCGUUGAAAGACGGACUAAAACCGCAUACACUUGUAUUAUUGCAUGAUAUUACAAGGAAAUAUUUAUAGCUGUAAGAUAGGCAUGCGUCCCAUUAGCUGGUUGGUGAGGUAACGGCUCACCAAGGCGACGAUGGGUAGGGGAACUGAGAGGUUUAUCCCCCACACUGGUACUGAGACACGGACCAGACUCCUACGGGAGGCAGCAGUGAGGAAUAUUGGUCAAUGGGCGAGAGCCUGAACCAGCCAAGUCGCGUGAAGGAAGACAGUCCUAAGGAUUGUAAACUUCUUUUAUACGGGAAUAACGGGCGAUACGAGUAUUGCAUG
RNAcentral lists this ribosomal RNA (453 nucleotides) under Porphyromonas gingivalis. RNAcentral describes it as "bacterial SSU rRNA". It matches the Rfam family "Bacterial small subunit ribosomal RNA", at positions 28 to 470 of the family's 1533-position model. Lineage: Bacteria; Pseudomonadati; Bacteroidota; Bacteroidia; Bacteroidales; Porphyromonadaceae. The record is from RNAcentral.